GACGAACGCUGGCGGCGUGCCUAAUACAUGCAAGUCGAGCGAAGUUUUUCUGGUGCUUGCACUAGAAAAACUUAGCGGCGAACGGGUGAGUAACACGUAAAGAACCUGCCUCAUAGACUGGGACAACUAUUGGAAACGAUAGCUAAUACCGGAUAACAGCAUUAACUGCAUGGUUGAUGUUUAAAAGUUGGUUAUGCUAACACUAUGAGAUGGCUUUGCGGUGCAUUAGCUAGUUGGUGGGGUAAAGGCCUACCAAGGCGACGAUGCAUAGCCGACCUGAGAGGGUGAUCGGCCACACUGGGACUGAGACACGGCCCAGACUCCUACGGGAGGCAGCAGUAGGGAAUCUUCCGCAAUGGGCGAAAGCCUGACGGAGCAACGCCGCGUGAGUGAAGAAGGAUUUCGGUUCGUAAAGCUCUGUUGUUAGGGAAGAAUGAUUGUGUAGUAACUAUACACAGUAGAGACGGUACCUAACCAGAAAGCCACGGCUAGCUACGUGCCAGCAGCCGCGGUAAUACGUAGGUGGCAAGCGUUGUCCGGAAUUAUUGGGCGUAAAGCGCGCGCAGGUGGUUUAAUAAGUCUGAUGUGAAAGCCCACGGCUCAACCGUGGAGGGUCAUUGGAAACUGUUAAACUUGAGUGCAGGAGAGAAAAGUGGAAUUCCUAGUGUAGCGGUGAAAUGCGUAGAGAUUAGGAGGAACACCAGUGGCGAAGGCGGCUUUUUGGCCUGUAACUGACACUGAGGCGCGAAAGCGUGGGGAGCAAACAGG
Molecule: ribosomal RNA, 768 nt
Filed under: uncultured bacterium
Lineage: Bacteria
Description: bacterial SSU rRNA
Rfam family: Bacterial small subunit ribosomal RNA
Source: RNAcentral